RNAcentral lists this ribosomal RNA (320 nucleotides) under uncultured Cryomonadida. Its description in RNAcentral is "SSU rRNA". The stretch from base 103 to 320 matches the Rfam family "Eukaryotic small subunit ribosomal RNA", at positions 736 to 955 of the family's 1831-position model. Lineage: Eukaryota; Cercozoa; Thecofilosea. The record is from RNAcentral.
GAUUUCUGGUUAGGCGCAUUUGGCCCGCUUCGGUUACGAGGUUGAGUGCCGUUUUGCGCCUGCCAUCCUUCUAGAGUACGACUCUCCCUUUACUGGGUUGGGCCGGAAUCUAGAUCAUUUACUUUGAAAAAAUUAGAGUGUUUAAAGCAGGCUUACGCUAUGAAUACAUUAGCAUGGAAUAAUAAUUUAGGACUUUGGUCUUAUUUUGUUGGUUUCUAGGACUAAAGUAAUGAUUGAUAGGGAUAGUUGGGGGUGCUAGUAUUCAGCGGCCAGAGGUGAAAUUCUUGGAUUCGCUGAAGACUAACUUAUGCGAAAGCAUU